GGAUGAGAGUAUGCAGUCCAAGGGAUGGGAUGGUAGCAACGUCGGCAGACAAAACAACCAACAUCUCUUUUUAUGGAUACAUAAGUAGCACACAUGGUGGAAUAUGCAAUGUGGUGUUGAAAAAAAACCCGUUAACACUAUGGCUUAGAACUCUUUUAGGAUAGUAUCACAAAGAACAUGCAAUGUGCUUUGGGGAGAAUGGACAUAGCAAUUAAACUGCUUUUGUUCACACACUCCUCGUUUUUGAUGGUUUGUUAUUGUAGGUAAACAUGAUGGAUGAGUAGUAUGCUACUGAUGAAGAUGAUUAAGUACGAUGUCAUCUACUGUCAGUUGAUAAUUCCUGGGAACAUCAUAAACAAAACUGAAACCAGGAAAAGGGUGUCGGAUAAUUACUGUGGAGAUUUGGAAUUAUUGGGGAGUUUUUAGGACCAAGAAACUCACAUUUGUCAAUUCGGAGUUAGAGAUUUGUUUUGGCAUCACGAAUUGCACCCGUUGGAGAAGGAAAUGAAUAUGAAGUUUCAUGUAACGGCUGGUUUGUCUACCUUGGAUUGUCAGGUAUAAAGUUUCAUGUUUUUUAAGUUACCAUAUCUACUUUUUGAAAGCAUUAUCAUGUCUACUAUUGCAUCAUAUUAAGGGAAAGUGGUGUUUCGAUGUUACAUGAUUUUAAAUUUGAGGAGUUUUGAUAUCAUGGACUAAACGGACCUGUCAGAAUUCGGCCUGCAUUGGGAAGGCUUUCUCCAGAGAAGAGGGGACGGCUGGUCUUAGUUUUGAAUAUUGCUUGCACGAUUGCUUACAGGUUGGAGCUCACAUUCUUUGGUUACUACGUUUCUGAAAUCGAAUAUUCUGACAUUUCGUUUGGACGGCAAGCCUGUGUCAUACAUGUUUAGAUUUUCCUUAUCAUUGGAUUAUGCUAACCUAAGCAUAAUUUUCAGUAAAUAUAAGUAUUAACACAUCAAUGUUUAAAAGUUUAAAACCCAUUUAGAAAAAUCCUAAUACAAUAUAACAUGGAGACUGUACGAUACCUGGUAUAAAUCAGCAUGAAUGCGCUUCUGAUUCUUAGGAUUGGAGAAAAAAUCAAGUCUCAUAGUCUCACACUUUAUGUACAUGUCGACAGCCCAUUGCUGGAGCUCGCGUGCACCGAACAAUAUAAUGUUGAAAAGUCCUUUCCUAACUUGUAGCUUGAAGCAAUAGUACUCCCUAGAGCUAACAAAUUUUCUUUUACCUCCGUUUUCACCAUCAUCCUGGUCCUCUUCAUCCUGGUCCUCUUCAUCAUCUGGAACAUGGAUGAGAAAAUGAUUAAUCGUCGAUCGUUAUUAACAAUCAUUAAAAUGUGAAACUUGUUUUGUCAGCACGGGGAUAAUUACCUGCUACCUCAUCCGUGUUUUCUUCCAGAUGUACACUGGAACUUUGGUCUAGACCUUGCAAGGGUUCACGCUCUGUCAUCCUCUUUGUCCCCUUGCUGAGUGACUUUACGUGGUAUCUCAUAUGGUAUCAGACGGUUCCACCCCGUCUCCCCUCUCGGGAAGAAUAAUGGAUACGCCAAAGGAUCAUAGCAACCAUAGUAAGCUCUAAUAAAUAUAGGACGGUCCCCUUUGCCAUGCACGACAACCUGCCUAUCAAAAGUGUUUUGCGGGUCACUACCUUCAACCCACAUGGCGGCCACCUGUGAAGCUGUGGGGACAUUGUACCUUCUCUGGUCCAGUCUUAUGUCCGUGUUAAGGGAUAUUCUAUAUUCUUCCAGGUUCGGAACAGAUCCACAGCUUUUAAAGGUCUUCACAUAGGGGUUGUCCUUUAGUAUUGAAGGAGAUAUGCCCUAGAGGCAAUAAUAAAGUGGUUAUUAUUUAUAUCUUUAUGUUUAUGAUAAAUGUUUAUAUAUCA
Molecule: long non-coding RNA, 1878 nt
Organism: Lolium perenne
Lineage: Eukaryota; Viridiplantae; Streptophyta; Magnoliopsida; Poales; Poaceae
Source: RefSeq, a predicted model, not a curated record